GACGAACGCUGGCGGCGUGCUUAACACAUGCAAGUCGAACGGAAAGGCCCUGCUUUUGUGGGGUGCUCGAGUGGCGAACGGGUGAGUAACACGUGAGUAACCUGCCCUUGACUUUGGGAUAACUUCAGGAAACUGGGGCUAAUACCGGAUAGGAGCUCCUGCUGCAUGGUGGGGGUUGGAAAGUUUCGGCGGUUGGGGAUGGACUCGCGGCUUAUCAGCUUGUUGGUGGGGUAGUGGCUUACCAAGGCUUUGACGGGUAGCCGGCCUGAGAGGGUGACCGGCCACAGUGGGACUGAGAUAGGGCCCAGACGCCUACGGGAGGCAGCAGUGGGGAAUAUUGCACAAUGGGCGGAAGCCGGAUGCAGCAACGCCGCGUGGGGGAUGACGGCCUUCGGGUUGUAAACCGCUUUCGCCUGUGACGAAGCGUGAGUGACGGUAAUGGGGAAAGAAGCACCGGCUAACUAGGU
Molecule: ribosomal RNA, 467 nt
Filed under: uncultured bacterium
Lineage: Bacteria
Description: partial 16S ribosomal RNA
Rfam family: Bacterial small subunit ribosomal RNA
Source: RNAcentral